This 802-nucleotide ribosomal RNA is filed under the name uncultured bacterium. RNAcentral's name for it is "bacterial SSU rRNA". It matches the Rfam family "Bacterial small subunit ribosomal RNA", at positions 62 to 853 of the family's 1533-position model. The record is from RNAcentral.
UCGGGCGGCAGCGGGGUGGGAGCUUGCUCCCACUGCCGGCGAGCGGCGCACGGGUGAGUAACACGUAUGCAACCUGCCCCUGUCAGGGGGACAACCCGCCGAAAGGCGGGCUAAGCCCGCGUAUAUCGCCCCGGGGCAUCCCGGGGGGAGGAAAGGAGCGAUCCGGACAGGGAUGGGCAUGCGGCGCAUUAGCUGGUCGGCGGGGUAACAGCCCACCGAGGCGACGAUGCGUAGGGGUUCUGAGAGGAAGGCCCCCCACACUGGUACUGAGACACGGACCAGACUCCUACGGGAGGCAGCAGUGAGGAAUAUUGGUCAAUGGGCGGGAGCCUGAACCAGCCAAGCCGCGUGAGGGAAGAAGGUACAGCGUAUCGUAAACCUCUCUUGUCAGGGAACAAAGGCGGGGACUAGUCCCCGGAUGAGGGUACCUGAAGAAAAAGCAUCGGCUAACUCCGUGCCAGCAGCCGCGGUAAUACGGAGGAUGCGAGCGUUAUCCGGAUUUAUUGGGUUUAAAGGGUGCGCAGGCGGCCUGUUAAGUCAGCGUAAAAGCCCGGGGCUCAACCCCGGCGAGCCGUUGAAACUGGCGGGCUGGAGUUGGAGAGAAGUACGCGGAAUGCGCGGUGUAGCGGUGAAAUGCUUAGAUAUCGCGCAGAACCCCGAUUGCGAAGGCAGCGUACCGGCUCCACACUGACGCUGAGGCACGAAAGCGUGGGUAUCGAACAGGAUUAGAUACCCUGGUAGUCCACGCAGUAAACGAUGAAUGCUUGCUGUCCGGGCAGAGAUAUGCCUGGGGGGCGAAGCG